This 544-nucleotide ribosomal RNA is filed under the name uncultured bacterium. RNAcentral describes it as "bacterial SSU rRNA". It matches the Rfam family "Bacterial small subunit ribosomal RNA", at positions 79 to 607 of the family's 1533-position model. The record is from RNAcentral.
CUUGCUCCCUGAAGUCAGCGGCGGACGGGUGAGUAACACGUGGGCAACCUGCCUGUAAGACUGGGAUAACUUCGGGAAACCGGAGCUAAUACCGGAUAAUCCUUUCCCUCACAUGAGGGAAAGCUGAAAGACGGUUUCGGCUGUCACUUACAGAUGGGCCCGCGGCGCAUUAGCUAGUUGGUGAGGUAACGGCUCACCAAGGCGACGAUGCGUAGCCGACCUGAGAGGGUGAUCGGCCACACUGGGACUGAGACACGGCCCAGACUCCUACGGGAGGCAGCAGUAGGGAAUCUUCCGCAAUGGACGAAAGUCUGACGGAGCAACGCCGCGUGAGUGAUGAAGGUUUUCGGAUCGUAAAACUCUGUUGUCAGGGAAGAACAAGUACCGUUCGAAUAGGGCGGUACCUUGACGGGACCUAACCAUAAAGCCACGGCUAACUACGUGCCAGCAGCCGCGGUAAUACGUAUGUGGCAAGCGUUGUCCGGAAUUAUUGGUCGUAAAGCGCGCGCAGGCGGUUCUUUAAGUCUGAUGUGAAAGCCCACGG